RNAcentral lists this ribosomal RNA (572 nucleotides) under Limnebius schoenmanni. RNAcentral describes it as "SSU rRNA". It matches the Rfam family "Eukaryotic small subunit ribosomal RNA", at positions 22 to 575 of the family's 1831-position model. The record is from RNAcentral. Lineage: Eukaryota; Metazoa; Arthropoda; Insecta; Coleoptera; Hydraenidae.
AGUCAUAUGCUUGUCUCAAAGAUUAAGCCAUGCAUGUCUCAGUACAAGCCAAAUUAAGGUGAAACCGCGAAAGGCUCAUUAAAUCAGUUAUGGUUCCUUAGAUCGUACCCACACUUACUUGGAUAACUGUGGUAAUUCUAGAGCUAAUACAUGCAAAUAGAGCCCCGACCGGAGACGGAAGGGGCGCUUUUAUUAGAUCAAAACCAAUCGGUGGCGGUUCGCCGUCACCGUACUCCUUGGUGACUCUGAAUAACUUGUUGCUGAUCGCACGGUCUCGAACCGGCGACGCAUCUUUCAAAUGUCUGCCUUAUCAACUGUCGAUGGUAGGUUCUGCGCCUACCAUGGUUGUAACGGGUAACGGGGAAUCAGGGUUCGAUUCCGGAGAGGGAGCCUGAGAAACGGCUACCACAUCCAAGGAAGGCAGCAGGCGCGCAAAUUACCCACUCCCGGCACGGGGAGGUAGUGACGAAAAAUAACGAUACGGGACUCAUCCGAGGCCCCGUAAUCGGAAUGAGUACACUCUAAACCCUUUAACGAGGAUCAAUUGGAGGGCCAGUCUGGUGCCAGCAGCC